CCGCCGGCGACCGGCGCACGGGUGAGUAACACGUAUGCAACCUCGCCCCUGUCGAGGGGGACAACCUUCCGAAAGGGAGGCUAAUCCCGCGUAUAUCGGUUUCGGGCAUCCGAGAUCGAGGAAAGAUUCAUCGGAAGAGGAUGGGCAUGCGGCGCAUUAGCUAGUUGGCGGGGUAACGGCCCACCAAGGCGACGAUGCGUAGGGGUUCUGAGAGGAAGGUCCCCCACACCUGGUACUGAGACACGGACCAGACUCCUACGGGAGGCAGCAG
Molecule: ribosomal RNA, 271 nt
Filed under: uncultured bacterium
Lineage: Bacteria
Description: partial 16S ribosomal RNA
Rfam family: Bacterial small subunit ribosomal RNA
Source: RNAcentral